CUAGCAGCAGCCUCUUCUGCCAUCUUCCUCCAUUCCAUGGCUUUCUUCUUCAUUUGUUUACCCUUGUCUGAAUCCAUUAACUCUAUCACAAGGCUUUCAACUUCAUCUCUCUUCACAUUAGUGUUUAUCUCCAUGCCUAUGCCCCAUUCCUUGCAACUGUAUCGGCAAUUGGUUUGUUGCUCCGCGAAGAAAGGCCAGCAAAUCAUAGGCACUCCUCCACAAAUACUUUCAAGAGUAGAGUUCCAUCCACUGUGUGUUAAGAAUCCUCCAAUAGACGGGUGGCUUAUUACUUGUUCCUGGGAGCACCAGCCUGCUAGAAGACCUCUUUCUUUAGUCACUGUCACAAACUCUGGUGGGAGAACCGCGGUAUCCCCAGCAACAAGGUCAGGCCUAAUGACCCACAAAAAAGUUUUGUUGCUAUUAGCAAGUCCCCAAGCA
RNAcentral lists this unclassified non-coding RNA (438 nucleotides) under Hevea brasiliensis (rubber tree). The record is from RNAcentral. Lineage: Eukaryota; Viridiplantae; Streptophyta; Magnoliopsida; Malpighiales; Euphorbiaceae.